UACGUAGGGGGCAAGCGUUGUCCGGAUUUAUUGGGCGUAAAGAGCGUGUAGGCGGCUUGGUAGGUCUCGCGUCAAAACCUGAGGCUCAACCUCAGUUCGCGUGGGAAACCACCUAGCUAGAGUCCGGAAGAGGAGUGUGGAAUUCCCGGUGUAGCGGUGAAAUGCGCAGAUAUCGGGAAGAACACCCGUGGCGAAGGCGGCACUCUGGGACGGUACUGACGCUGAGACGCGAAAGCGUGGGGAGCGAACAGG
This 252-nucleotide ribosomal RNA is filed under the name uncultured bacterium. RNAcentral describes it as "partial 16S ribosomal RNA". It matches the Rfam family "Bacterial small subunit ribosomal RNA", at positions 524 to 776 of the family's 1533-position model. The record is from RNAcentral.